RNAcentral lists this ribosomal RNA (324 nucleotides) under uncultured bacterium. RNAcentral's name for it is "bacterial SSU rRNA". It matches the Rfam family "Bacterial small subunit ribosomal RNA", at positions 28 to 333 of the family's 1533-position model. The record is from RNAcentral.
GAUGAACGCUGGCGGCGUGCCUAACACAUGCAAGUCGAACGGAGCUGCUUUGAUGAAGUUUUCGGAUGGAUUUAAAACAGCUUAGUGGCGGACGGGUGAGUAACGCGUGGGUAACCUGCCUCACACUGGGGGAUAACAGUUAGAAAUAGCUGCUAAUACCGCAUAAGCGCACGGUUCCGCAUGGAACAGUGUGAAAAAACUCCGGUGGUGUGAGAUGGACCCCGNGUCUGAUUAGCCAAUUGGCGGGGUAAAGGCCCACCAAGGCGACGAUCAGUAGCCGGACUGAGAGGUUGAACGGCCACAUUGGGACUGAGAUACGGCCCA